This 460-nucleotide ribosomal RNA is filed under the name uncultured bacterium. Its description in RNAcentral is "partial 16S ribosomal RNA". It matches the Rfam family "Bacterial small subunit ribosomal RNA", at positions 338 to 795 of the family's 1533-position model. The record is from RNAcentral.
CCUACGGGAGGCAGCAGUGAGGAAUAUUGGUCAAUGGGCGAGAGCCUGAACCAGCCAAGUCGCGUGAAGGAUUACGGCCCUACGGGUUGUCACCUUCUUUUGUCAGGGAGCAAUUGGGUCCACGCGUGGGCUUAGCGAGAGUACCUGAAGAAAAAACAUCGGUUAACUCCGUGCCAGCAGCCGCGGUAAUACGGAGGAUGCGGGCGUUAUCCGGAUUGAUUGGGUUUAAAGGGUGCGUAGGCGGAAUAUCAAGUCCUCGGGAAAAAUUCGGGGCUCAACCCCGACGUGCCGUUGAAACUGGUGUUCUUGAGUGGAGGAGAGGUAUGCGGAAUGCGUGGUGUAGCGGUGAAAUGCAUAGAUAUCACGAAGAACUCCGAUUGCGAAGGCAGCAUACCGGCGCCCAACUGACGCUGAGGCACGAAAGCGUGGGUAUCGAACAGGAUUAGAUACCCGUGUAGUC